AAACCCUGGCUGCAAGCUUGGGGCCCAUAGGGCUCUGGUCAAAAGUAGUGCUCUGUAUAGGGAAUAGGGAACCAUUUGGAAAACAGGCCAUAUCAUGUAGAACAGUAUUCUCCAUCCUCCUGGAGAAGGUUUCUGACUUGUCUUGUUUCUGAUUCGCUCUGAGGAUAUAUCUGUGUCUAUGUAGAAGCAUUGACGUUGAGUGCCCAUUGUUUUCUAACUAUAGUGAGGUUAUAUCUGUGUCUAUGUAGAAGCAUUGACAUUGAGUGCCCAUUGUUUUCUAACUAUAGUGAGGUUAUAUCUGUGUCUAUGUAGAAGCAUUGACGUUGAGUGCCCAUUGUUUUCUAACUAUAGUGAGGUUAUAUCUGUGUCUAUGUAGAAGCAUUGACGUUGAGUGCCCAUUGUUUUCUAACUAUAGUGAGGUUAUAUCUGUGUCUAUGUA
RNAcentral lists this long non-coding RNA (439 nucleotides) under Salmo salar (Atlantic salmon). RNAcentral's name for it is "lncRNA (ENSSSAG00000085470.1)". The record is from RNAcentral. Lineage: Eukaryota; Metazoa; Chordata; Actinopteri; Salmoniformes; Salmonidae.